This 82-nucleotide transfer RNA is filed under the name Candidatus Kerfeldbacteria bacterium. RNAcentral describes it as "tRNA-Leu". Lineage: Bacteria; Candidatus Kerfeldiibacteriota. The record is from RNAcentral.
GCGCGGGUGCUGUAACUGGUAGCCAGGCACGCUUGAGGUGCGUGUGCCGUAAGGCGUGGGAGUUCGAGUCUCCCCUCGCGCA